Molecule: unclassified non-coding RNA, 240 nt
Filed under: soil metagenome
Description: partial contains 5.8S ribosomal RNA, internal transcribed spacer 2, and large subunit ribosomal RNA
Source: RNAcentral
AACGCACGAGACCUGCGGACCUGCGGAAGGAUCAUUGAUGAGAAACUGCCCCUCGCGGGUAGAUCUCCCACCCUUUGUAAACUUACCUUUGUUGCUUUGGCAGGCCCGUCUCCGGACCGCCGGCUUCGGCUGGCCAGUGCCUGCCAGAGGAUUCUAAAACUCUGUCUGUCAGUGUUGUCUGAGUCUAUAUACAAUCGUUAAAACUUUUAACAAUGGAUCUCUAGAUCGGAAGAGCACACG